RNAcentral lists this long non-coding RNA (1473 nucleotides) under Oreochromis niloticus (Nile tilapia). RNAcentral describes it as "lncRNA (ENSONIG00000035745.1)". The record is from RNAcentral. Lineage: Eukaryota; Metazoa; Chordata; Actinopteri; Cichliformes; Cichlidae.
AUGACAACUCCACACAGUUACACCUCAGUAGAAACAUGGAAGUCCUUAAGUGACCACUUUUUUGGUACAAUUGUACCACAGUGGCAGUCUCUGCAGUUCAACCCAGAGUACUGCAACACUGAGCUGCCUUCCACUUUGCUGAAAGACAUGUUGAAACUUUGUUCCAUGUUAGUGGAUGCAAUGGACACAACCGUGGAGAAGGGAGAUCCAGUGUCUACGCAGACUGAUGAGGUCUGUCUUCACUCAGUGGACACAGAGUCCCAUGAGAAAACAGAAGAAACAGGAGCAAAGGACAGCAUCCUGAAAGAAAUUUCUGUAGAUGACCACGGUAAUAAUGAAGAAACAGAAACUCCAGGACUGGAGGACUCUUCAGACUCAAAAAACCUCAAGCUGCAUUUGACUGCAGAGGAGAGCAGUCUUGAUAAAACAUCCACAGAUGACAGUGAAAAUAGAGAAAUUCUAACACUGCAUCGUGCACCUACACCACCCAACAUAUAUCUAAAUGUUUUUAUUGGUUUCAGUGAGUCAUCUGAGGAAGAAGCGUCUGUGUCGUCCCAGAUGAUUCCUCCUCAAACCCAAACCGCAGCCACAGUAGAACCGAAGAAGAGCUGUUGGAAGAAAAACUACUCAAAAAACUUGGACAACAUAGAAGCUUGCCCCCUGGAAAAGUCUGUGAAGAAAGCUGUGCAUGUGUCAGUCGGUAAUGGUGAUUCAGAUUUUGGUUCUUAUAACAUCACUCUGGCAUCUGAUUAUCUGUCUGAAGAAAAGAUGUGUGUUUACAAAGUUAUUCAGUUGGUAGUUUCAGAGGCCACAAGCAAAGCCUCCUCUAAAUACAAGGACUUCACACGGCGUAUGACUCCGGACUCCAUCAGCAAUCGCCUGCUUGAAAAAAUCUGGCCUCAGAUUGACGAGAGAGAUUUGGAUCUAUCUCCAAAAAGGCUGACCAAUAUCAACAAGGACAUUUUCACCAACCUUUGCAAAGCACAUAACUGCAAGGAGAAAUAUUUGAUUAUGUGUCUGAGAGAACAACUUGACGAUAUUACUGUCCCAACGUUUACAGAACUCCUGUUGGCUUUACCAAAAAGAGUACUCACUAUAUCUGAAAACAGAGAAGAGUACAGAAAAGUUGUUGAAAGCUUCACUAAAGAUUUGGUUCUGCACGCUAUAAGCAACACAAAUGAGGCAUGGAAAUUGCCUCCAGGGGCAGAUAAAGCCAUUAUGGACAGGUUUACCCACAGGAUUUGGGCUAAAAUUAAGUCCCAAAACCUUAAAAUGUCCUUAGAGAACACUGAAGAAGUCAGUGUGAAAGUCUACAAUGAACUCCGGGAAAAGUGGAAAAGUCCAAACACUGUCCUGGAGUUAAUGUUUAAUGGCCAAGACAAUAUUGACAACGUGAUUGUCAAAAGUUUCAAAAGAAAUGCCCCAUUGAAGAGACCAAGUUUUUUCUCUAGGAUUUUCUCACGAGCACUCUAA